Long non-coding RNA from Lathyrus oleraceus (garden pea), 1199 nucleotides. RefSeq lists it as uncharacterized. NCBI's taxonomy places the organism in Eukaryota, Viridiplantae, Streptophyta, Magnoliopsida, Fabales, Fabaceae. The transcript has 2 exons. The record is from RefSeq and is a predicted model, not a curated record.
AGGGGGUGUACUGGGUGUGGAGUGUGUGCGGAUAGGAAUUCAUAUCGGGCCUAAGGCCCAAUUGCUCUGCGAAAGGAUAGAAAAAACACGCGAAGACAUGCCACCGAUGAAACGAAUCUCAGAAGUACUUACCACGUUCGUCGGAUUCAAUGGCCGAUGCGAGCAAUGGAAGGAUUCGUCGUUGCUACGUUGUGACUACGUCCGAUCCUCGGUUCGUAUGGUGGAUUGUUCGUUAAUCCGCUCGCCGUAGAUAAUGAUGAAGAAAGAACUGUCGUCGACACACGGUAGCCUGGCUACGUCGUCGACACACGGUAGCCUGGCUACGUCGCCGACAAUAGAGACGAGUCGACGGAGAUUCCAAACGCCUCCGUAAAGCCUUGAAUGCAACUACGUGCGAUCCAAAGUCCGGCGAGAUCGAAGCGACUUCGACCUAAGUUGCAGGAUUUCGAUUGCUACACACUUUGAAGCUCCUCUUUCUCUUCUACUCUGGUCCGUUUCUCUACUAAAAGUGGCGAUGCUAGGCACGUGUAUCAGGCGGAGCGAGGUUCGGCUUACCGGUAGCAACACGAUUCGGACCAUAGAGAUUUCGCGGCGUAAGCGACGGUGGUUCAGUGAAGAUUCUAGAAGAAGUUUGUUACGGUUGCGAUUAUGGAGGAUUGAAGAAGAAGUUUGUUACGGUUGGAGUUAUGGUGCGCUUCUGUUUCUGUUAUUCUGCUAUGGUGGCGGCGGCGACUAAAGUAGUUUUAUCGGUGGUUUUGGAGGUUUGAAGCGGUUGAGGGUUGAGAGAGUUUGUUACAGUGGUGGAAGAGAAUAAUGUGGAAGAUUCAAGAAGAAUGGAAGAGUUUGUUAGAAAUUGGAGAGAGAGCGAGCAGAAGAAGCUUCGAAAGCCUUCGCUUCAAUUUAUAGAGUUAUAGUUGUAAUCAGUUUGAACUUGGAGCUUCAGCUUGUGUUGCCGUUUGCCCAUAUGUUGCUGUCGUUGUGAAGCGCUUAUUGUAGUUAUGCGGUAGUUGUUAUGGCUUGUGCAGUAGCUUCUCGUUGCGGCUGAAAUUAUGCAGCUUGUUUUUGUUCGCGCCUGUGUGUUAGCUGCACUUUGAAUUUGGCUUUGGCGUUUUGGUGCGUUUGUAUCAAUUGGUCAUGAAUUGGAAAAUGGAUCUAUUGGAUAAUGAUUUUGGAAUUGGAUUCUUUUGGUUAUGAGUUAA